Molecule: ribosomal RNA, 700 nt
Filed under: Psychrobacter sp. NB041
Lineage: Bacteria; Pseudomonadati; Pseudomonadota; Gammaproteobacteria; Moraxellales; Moraxellaceae
Description: bacterial SSU rRNA
Rfam family: Bacterial small subunit ribosomal RNA
Source: RNAcentral
GAAUCUACCUAYUAGUGGGGAUAGCUCGGGAAACUCGAAUUCAAUACCGCAUACGAKCUACGGGAGAAAGGGGGCAACUUGUUGCUCUCGCUAUUAGAUGAGCCUAAGUCGGAUUAGCUAGAUGGUGGGGUAAAGGCCUACCAUGGCGACGAUCUGUAGCUGGUCUGAGAGGAUGAUCAGCCACACCGGGACUGAGACACGGCCCGGACUCUACGGGAGGCAGCAGUGGGGAAUAUUGGACAAUGGGGCAACCCUGAUCCAGCCAUGCCGCGUGUGUGAAGAAGGCCUUUUGGUUGUAAAGCACUUUAAGCAGUGAAGAAGACUCCAUGGUUAAUACCCAUGGACGAUGACAUUAGCUGCAGAAUAAGCACCGGCUAACUCUGUGCCAGCAGCCGCGGUAAUACAGAGGGUGCAAGCGUUAAUCGGAAUUACUGGGCGUAAAGCGAGCGUAGGUGGCUUGAUAAGUCAGAUGUGAAAGCCCCGGGCUUAACCUGGGAACGGCAUCUGAUACUGUUAGGCUAGAGUAGGUGAGAGCAACGUAGAAUUCCAGGUGUAGCGGUGAAAUSCGUAGAGAUCUGGAGGAAUACCGAUGGCGAAGGCAGCCUUCUGGCAUCAUACUGACACUGAGGUUCGAAAGCGUGGGUAGCAAACAGGAUUAGAUACCCUGGUAGUCCACGCCGUAAACGAUGUCUACUAGUCA